GCUAAGAUGUAGCCUUUAUCUGCAUUUGCACCUGCACCUUCUUGUUUUUAAUUAUCUGCUUCUGCUUCAGAAACCAAAUGUGUUUGUUUGUGAUGUUGAUGAAAAUAGAAUAGGACCAAAACAGAAAAUAAUAAUAAGGUGCAGGUGCAGGCGCAGCUGAAUGCCAUUUUGGC
Molecule: microRNA precursor, 173 nt
Filed under: Gossypium hirsutum (cotton)
Lineage: Eukaryota; Viridiplantae; Streptophyta; Magnoliopsida; Malvales; Malvaceae
Also listed under: 6 other names
Description: MIR530 microRNA precursor family
Rfam family: MIR530 microRNA precursor family
Source: Rfam by way of RNAcentral